GCCGACUCCUGUCAGUUGGGGUGUUGUGAGCUUAGAUUAAAUGACUAGUGCGAAACACAUAGCACUUGAUAGGUUCAAAUAUUUUGUUUGAAGAUAGUAGUGGGUAUAGUGUCUUGGACUCAGAGGGACAAGAUCUUGGCACAAGGCUUCUUUGACCUUAGUUUUAGUUUCUGUGUCUGUAAAGGAGGGAUCAUUAUUCCUGAGACUAAAAUGGCAGGUGCGUGGCUCACAGGAAGCACGCCUUGACAGAAGGGGCUGUUUUUCUUUUCCUCAGCCUUCUUCUCCAUCCUCCCCUCUGUGCCAAGGCAGCUGCCAACUUGCUGGGAUCUAGGAGGAAAAUCCCACAUCUGUCUCUGGAUCCAAGUGCCACUACCUUGCCUUCAGCUCCUGGGAGGGGGUGGCGAUUAUAAUUUGGCAGGAGGCCUAAAUGCACAGAUACUUGAAAGUCUGCCAGCCUGACCAGUUUAAAUCAGCAAAUCAUCACUCAUUUGCUUUGAGAGGAUCUGCAAAACUGACGUGUGCCACAAGCUUUUCUUGUGUUACAACAAACUCAUGAAUGGGAUGUCUUCCUCAUUCUUCCAGAGGAUUCCAUGUUUCAGAUAAUCAAUGCAAUGAGUACCAUAUCAGCUUGCUUCACCUCAGACUGUGUACAGAGAUAUCAGAUAUGGAAUGUCAACCCUUCACCUUCAUCACUCGGAUACCAAGUUGCAGAUGCUACCAUGAUGUCAACCUGACUUUCCCGGGCACAUGACCCCAUCAAUAUACCCUGUAACCCCACCUCUCUAGAGUCCUGCCCACUUGGGAAAGAUAUAAACAGGCUGAAAGUAUGGAUCGAUCUGCCAACACCUAUGUCCAGUAGAGAAGAAAUUACAGAAGCCAAACCUUUCACCUUCUGCACCCCAUAAUCAUCCUGGGUCCAUGCUCCCAGAGAGAUUUAAAGUCCAAUCCCACACUGAAGCUUUCGACUGAACCAAGAAUAAGCCAGGUGUUGAUAAUUUUAAGGAGUGUAUAAUUUCUAAUAAUACUGAGCAGUGACAUGAUUUGGCUUCCCUUGUUACAUUUUUAAAAAAUAAUCUUUGUAACACAAGUGUAAAGAAAAGUG
Erinaceus europaeus (western European hedgehog) is the source of this 1102-nucleotide long non-coding RNA. RefSeq lists it as uncharacterized. The transcript is spliced from 4 exons. NCBI's taxonomy places the organism in Eukaryota, Metazoa, Chordata, Mammalia, Eulipotyphla, Erinaceidae. The record is from RefSeq and is a predicted model, not a curated record.